Small nuclear RNA from Monodelphis domestica (gray short-tailed opossum), 107 nucleotides. Lineage: Eukaryota; Metazoa; Chordata; Mammalia; Didelphimorphia; Didelphidae. The record is from Ensembl.
GUGCUGGUUUGGGCAGCGCAUAUGCUAAAAUUGGAAUGAUGCAGGGCUUCGAAGCAUGGUCCCUGCCCAAAGAUGACAUUCAUAUUAUUGAAAAGUUCCAUGCUUUU